GGACGAACGCUGGCGGCGUGCUUAACAUAUGCAAGUCGAACGGAAAGGCCCUGCUUUUGUGGGGUGCUCGAGUGGCGAACGGGUGAGUAACACGUGAGUAACCUGCCCUUGACUUUGGGAUAACUUCAGGAAACUGGGGCUAAUACCGGAUAGGAGCUCCUGCUGCAUGGUGGGGGUUGGAAAGUUUCGGCGGUUGGGGAUGGACUCGCGGCUUAUCAGCUUGUUGGUGGGGUAGUGGCUUACCAAGGCUUUGACGGGUAGCCGGCCUGAGAGGGUGACCGGCCACAUUGGGACUGAGAUACGGCCCAGACUCCUACGGGAGGCAGCAGUGGGGAAUAUUGCACAAUGGGCGGAAGCCUGAUGCAGCAACGCCGCGUGCGGGAUGACGGCCUUCGGGUUGUAAACCGCUUUCGCCUGUGACGAAGCGUGAGUGACGGUAAUGGGUAAAGAAGCACCGGCUAACUACGUG
RNAcentral lists this ribosomal RNA (469 nucleotides) under uncultured bacterium. Its description in RNAcentral is "partial 16S ribosomal RNA". It matches the Rfam family "Bacterial small subunit ribosomal RNA", at positions 27 to 507 of the family's 1533-position model. The record is from RNAcentral.